This 460-nucleotide ribosomal RNA is filed under the name uncultured bacterium. Its description in RNAcentral is "partial 16S ribosomal RNA". It matches the Rfam family "Bacterial small subunit ribosomal RNA", at positions 338 to 795 of the family's 1533-position model. The record is from RNAcentral.
CCUACGGGAGGCAGCAGUGAGGAAUAUUGGUCAAUGGACGAGAGUCUGAACCAGCCAAGCAGCGUGAAGGAUGACUGCCCUAUGGGUUGUAAACUUCUUUUAUAUGGGAAUAAAAUGUUCCACGUGUGGGAUUUUGUAUGUCCCAUAUGAAUAAGGAUCGGCCAACUCCGUGCCAGCAGCCGCGGUAAUCCGGAGGAUCCGAGCGUUAUCCGGAUUUAUUGGGUUUAAAGGGAGCGUAGGUGGAUUGUUAAGUCAGUUGUGAAAGUUUGCGGCUCAACCGUAAAAUUGCAGUUGAAACUGGCAGUCUUGAGUACAGUAGAGGUGGGCGGAAUUCGUGGUGUAGCGGUGAAAUGCUUAGAUAUCACGAAGAACUCCGAUUGCGAAGGCAGUUCACUGGACUGCAACUGACACUGAGGCUCGAAAGUGUGGGUAUCAAACAGGAUUAGAUACCCUUGUAGUC